This 415-nucleotide ribosomal RNA is filed under the name uncultured prokaryote. Its description in RNAcentral is "bacterial SSU rRNA". It matches the Rfam family "Bacterial small subunit ribosomal RNA", at positions 505 to 918 of the family's 1533-position model. The record is from RNAcentral.
GUGUCAGCCGCCGCGGUAAUACGUAGGAGGCGAGCGUUAUCCGGAUUUACUGGGCGUAAAGCGGGCGUAGGUGGCUUUUUAAGUCGGAUGUAAAAUCUCCCUGCUUAACGGGGAGGGGUCAUUCCAUACUGUUGAGCUAGAGGGCAGCAGAGGGAGGUAGAAUUCCCGGUGUAGUGGUGAAAUGCGUAGAUAUCGGGAGGAAUACCAGUGGCGAAGGCGGCCUCCUGGGCUGUUGCUGACGCUGAGGCCCGAAAGCGUGGGGAGCGAACAGGAUUAGAUACCCUGGUAGUCCACGCUGUCAACGAUGGGCACUAGGUAUAGGGAGUAUCGACCCUCUCUGUGCCAAAGCUAACGCGUUAAGUGCCCCGCCUGGGGACUACGGCCGCAAGGCUAAAACUUAAAUGAAUUGGCGGGG